Cannabis sativa is the source of this 333-nucleotide long non-coding RNA. RefSeq lists it as uncharacterized. NCBI's taxonomy places the organism in Eukaryota, Viridiplantae, Streptophyta, Magnoliopsida, Rosales, Cannabaceae. The transcript is spliced from 2 exons. The record is from RefSeq and is a predicted model, not a curated record.
GGACGACAAUGCCCUUGUCGUUGCCAUCUUCAAUGGUGGGAUACCAACGCUCCAAAACUUGGUCAGCAUACUCAAAAGCAUCAGCUUUGCUCUGAAACACAACGCUUGAAAUGUUCAGUUUUCAAAGUUUAAGCAACCAAACAAGAUAACAGCAUUUUCCCAUCAUGAAAAAAGGGAUUUUCAGAAAGAAGAACUUACAGUGAGCUUUCUAACGGUUAUGAAAUUGAUGUGAAUAUUCUUUCUGGACUCCAAAUCAGACAACAAUCUCUUCAAAUCUGAUUUCGUAACUCGGCUAAGCACUCCUGCAUCAUCAACAACAUAGGAUUCUUUCGG